GGGCGUAAAGAGCUCGUAGGCGGCUUGUCACGUCGGAUGUGAAAACUCGGGGCUCAACCCCGAGCCUGCAUUCGAUACGGGCUAGCUAGAGUGUUGCAGGGGAGACUGGAAUUCCUGGUGUAGCGGUGAAAUGCGCAGAUAUCAGGAGGAACACCGGUGGCGAAGGCGGGUCUCUGGGCAACUACUGACGCUGAGGAGCGAAAGCGUGGGGAGCGAACAGGAUUAGAUACCCUGGUAGUCCACGCCGUAAACGUUGGGCGCUAGGUGUGGGGAACCUUCCACGUUCUCCGUGCCGUAGCUAACGCAUUAAGCGCCCCGCCUGGGGAGUACGGCCGCAAGGCUAAAACUCAAAGGAAUUGACGGGGGCCCGCACAAGCGGCGGAGCAUGCGGCUUAACUCGAUGCAACGCGAAGAACCUUACCUAGGCUUGACAUAUACCGAAAACUCGUAGAGAUACGGGGUCCGCAAGGGCGGUAUACAGGUGGUGCAUGGUUGUCGUCAGCUCGUGUCGUGAGAUGUUGGGUUAAGUCCCGCAACGAGCGCAACCCUCGUCCUAUGUUGCCAGCGGAUAAUGCCGGGGACUCAUAGGAGACUGCCGGGGUCAACUCGGAGGAAGGUAAU
This 621-nucleotide ribosomal RNA is filed under the name uncultured Actinomycetes bacterium. RNAcentral describes it as "bacterial SSU rRNA". It matches the Rfam family "Bacterial small subunit ribosomal RNA", at positions 556 to 1177 of the family's 1533-position model. Lineage: Bacteria; Bacillati; Actinomycetota; Actinomycetes. The record is from RNAcentral.